CGCGCCGUCCACCUCGUCCUUUUCCUCCCGCCCACCUCUCUCUCUCUCUCUCUCUCUCCCUCCAAACCCUAGCCUCGCUCCUGCCUCCCUGCCCUGCUGCCGUCGAAAUCCAACCCCACGCCGCCGCCAUUUCCUUCGCCUAGCAGGACGCCGCUGCCCCGCCAUCUCCUCGACCCAGCCGACCACCCCUUCUCUGUGGAACGCGGGCCGAGGAGAAGAUGAGUUUGUUGGGCAGCUGCGCCCGCCAAGCACCACCAGGCGGAGGAGGAGGAGUCUGUGCCCUCCUCCAUCAGCGCAAAGAUCCUUCGCGAGGCGCUCAAGCCGCAGCAGGAGGAGGGCCUCGCCGACUCCUUCACUCUGCCGCCUGUGUCCGCUCCCGUCCCCGUCGACGACGGCGAAGAUGACAGGAUGUCGACGAGUUUGACGGCUUCAACGCGCUCAGCGAGUACGAUGACGGCGUGGUGCGUGCUCUCGAUAAAUAAAAUGUGACAGUGUCUUUGGGUGUGUCCGUGGCACUGUGGCUGACGCAGCACCAGAAGAUCAUAGAUAAGGACGCCACGGUCUCAACAGAAGGACGGCCUGCCGUCAAGUUGGACAACAGAAUCAUAGAACUCUACAAAGUGUAUGGGUUGGCCAGCUCUUGAGCAAAUUCGUCAUAGUGACCGCCAAUGGCCAACAAGUCCAUCUCUUUCUCAAGCUCGAUUCCCUCUUAUUUUGCAGACUGGAGGUGGACUGAAAGGGUAUAUUUCCUUCAAGGGUAGUGAUGAGCUUGCUGGUUUCUGUGCGGCUGAGCAGGCAGUUGAUGAUUGGACGGCAAAGGCAAUGGCAGUGACCGUUCCAUUUGAAGAGGCUCAUGCUGCCUGGAUUUUGUUAAGCAAUCCUACAUUAAGUUAAUUCAAGAAGUUAAUCACUAAUUAGUUGUUGUAUUUGCGUUCCUAGAUGGAUCUUUUGACAUUCCACAACUUUAUUAUUCUUACUUGGGAUCAUUUGAUAUGUGUCGUUGAACAUAACAGAGCACUCUUAGGAAUUCCUAGGUGAUUUAACUCGGCUUCUCUAUGCACGCCAAUAUGAAAGGUAUUAGCUGCAAUAUAUAGAAAAUUGGUUCGGUACCACACAAAAAAAACCAUUUCGGGAUAAUACCACCAUAUAGACUAGGUUCAUUUUAAUACCACUAAAUGAGAUAAAAUACUACCUGCUUAUACCAGUCGAGUCUCCACUGUUAGUAUGAUAUGUGGUCAAAUUUGCAUGUCCUUGAAAAUCUUUACAUUUUGAUAAUUGUUAUAUUUGGAUGUUACCAAGAUUUAGGUUUAGAAUAUCUAAGAUUUCCAUCUAUGUUUUUUGUUAGAACAGUAAACAAGGAUAUGUUUCUUCUCUCGGAUCUAGAAACCAUGAUUCCUCUUUUCUUCACUUGUGAUGAUUUUUUAUAUAAAUUUCUUUUAGUAGUGAGUGAGCUUCUGAAAUGAAUAAUUUUGGCAAAAAUAUCAAUUCGAUCUUCCCGUUCUGCGGCUCAAAGGUUGACGACUACCAUCGGGAACUGCCCAGUUAAGUCUACCAGGUUGUAAGCUCCUCCAUGUUGUUCCUUCGGUUACUUUUAAUAAGAUUUGCUCGAUUGUUGGAAUGGUUAGUUCCUGAACGACCAAGUAACACAUUGGAAGAUGGAAAAACAUGACCGCAUCAUUAAGCCAUUCUUUUGCAUGCACAUGAUGUAGAUGUUUAGUCUCAAGUCUGCGGUUUGGGAAGUUCUUUAACAGACCUCUGGUAGAUCUUCUGAUGUUUAGCAACGCAUUUCUGCAGGGUUCCACAUGCUAACCUCAGCAAGCACAAACCACAGGGUCGUCUUCCUCUCUAACCGCUUCCGCACCGUCAUGGAUGUCGCAGACCUCAUCCUCGAGAAGCUCCUCUACCAGUGUUCUGCAGUGAUGGAAGAGGUUCUAAUGAUCUUCCAGCCAGGGAGGAAGUGAACUCACAAAAAUAUGAGGCAGGCUAUUUCCUCUGCCAGAAUGAAAGGGGAAUAUGCUGAGAGGUGGGGACAACCAAAAUGCCAAACGAGAAGCAAUGGAAGGCAAUGCUACUGUAGUUUAUACGCUCAGGUUUCUUUGCUUCUGUUUGGCCUUUGUCAGUUAUCAAUGUUUGAAUAAGGUGGCAGCCAGCAGCGCCGGAAGCUCGAGGCUCUGGUUUCCCUUCCAGCAGUGCGGGGCUGCCAUCCCGAAGUAGCAUCGACUGAGCUCCCAACCCCGAUGCUAAGCCGCGUUCCUGCCGGCCUUCUGUAGAUUUGUUGAGGCCCAGUCCGACCAUGAGUUCUGCUACCACAAGGUGAUUGGCCCACAACUCAUCUCUUCACUGCUCUACAUCUAGAUCGUGCGACCAUCAACUCCCCGUCCAUACCACAACUUUCUCAAGUUGUAUUUUGAGCAUUGGCAUCUCUAGCCGAGCUGCGCAAGCAGAAAGCUGAGCAGGAGCAGCUCGGGGAUGAAGCAAAGGUCUAAAAUGCUGAAUCUCCCAAUAAAGUGGUACUAUAUAUCUCAGGAUGACAAAGUUCUGAACUAAGUAGCAAAAUGAGGCCAAGAGCUCGAUGACGUUGUAGGUAUCGCCCCCUUCAGCGUCCAGGAACCAGGCAAAACGCCACUGUCAAUGUGAGCGGCGACGAGUGAAUGGACAGCGACAUCGUGCACCAUGGCAUGAUGAUCAGAUCGGCGACGUAAUCGUUGCGGCGGACAAUGCCAAGGAUCAGUUCUUUUCUGUCAAUAUUUGUUUGGGAUUCUAUGUCAAUCUUUUUCUGGAAACUUCUAUUUUGUUGAUUCAAAUUAUUUAAGAAAUUAUGAAAUUUGGUAUCUUUUGUAAGUAGAUGUCAGUGUCAAGGCGUCUUCUGUAUAUUUCUCAUUCUCAGAAGGUUGCCAAUUAUAGCGUUGUUCUAAACCUUGAAACUUUCGGUGCAUUAUGCUACAUAUCAUAUGAAAUGCAUCAGUGGAAUGCACUGAAUCUUCACGACUUCGUUACCGGGUUGGAUAUGAUCACUCGGCAGGGCUGUGGCAUGCCGCACUUUCUACCAACCGAUCAUUACUUGCUUGACCACAUCGUUUGGACUGGCAUAUCUUUUGUUGUCUUGCUUCUAUUAAAAGUUAAUGUUUCUUCUUUCUUUUAUUUUGUUUUCUUGUUUGAAUAUAUAUGCUAAAUAAGGAUUCUUACC
Molecule: long non-coding RNA, 3187 nt
Organism: Triticum aestivum (bread wheat)
Lineage: Eukaryota; Viridiplantae; Streptophyta; Magnoliopsida; Poales; Poaceae
Exons: 11
Source: RefSeq, a predicted model, not a curated record